AGAUUGAACGCUGGCGGCAUGCCUUACACAUGCAAGUCGAACGGCAGCACGGGGGCAACCCUGGUGGCGAGUGGCGAACGGGUGAGUAAUAUAUCGGAACGUGCCCUGGAGUGGGGGAUAACGUAGCGAAAGUUACGCUAAUACCGCAUACGAUCUACGGAUGAAAGUGGGGGAUUCGCAAGAACCUCAUGCUCGUGGAGCGGCCGAUAUCUGAUUAGCUAGUUGGUAGGGUAAGAGCCUACCAAGGCAUCGAUCAGUAGCUGGUCUGAGAGGACGACCAGCCACACUGGGACUGAGACACCGGCCCAGACUCCUACGGGAGCAGCAGUGGGGAAUUUUGGACAAGUGGGCGCAAGCCUGAUCCAGCAAUGCCGCGUGAGUGAAGACGGCCUUGGUGUAAGCUUCUUUGUACGA
Molecule: ribosomal RNA, 414 nt
Filed under: uncultured soil bacterium
Lineage: Bacteria
Description: bacterial SSU rRNA
Rfam family: Bacterial small subunit ribosomal RNA
Source: RNAcentral